RNAcentral lists this unclassified non-coding RNA (294 nucleotides) under Mycoplasmopsis gallinacea. RNAcentral's name for it is "Mycoplasma gallinaceum partial contains 16S ribosomal RNA, 16S-23S ribosomal RNA intergenic spacer, and 23S ribosomal RNA". Lineage: Bacteria; Bacillati; Mycoplasmatota; Mycoplasmoidales; Metamycoplasmataceae. The record is from RNAcentral.
CCUUUCUACGGAGUACACCUUUCAGUUUAGUGCUGAAAAAUACAACAAAAAUUAUUAAAUAUUAACGACAAAUAAUAGGUCAUGUCAUAUAUCUAGUUUUGAGAGAACUUUCUCUCUUUGUUCUUUGAAAACUGAAUAGUAAAGUAAAGAUAUUAAAUUAAUAUAACAACGACAUCAAAAAAUAAAUUAGUCAAUUUGUUUUGUGAUACCGAGUUAAUUAUUAUUCUAAAAAUAAUAAUUUAUUGAAAUGUCUUUGAAUACAUCAAACAAAUAGGUAAAUAUUGUUACAACUUU